GUCUUGGCAUAGCAAUACCAGCCCAUAAAGCAAGAUGAAACAGAAUAAUAUAUUAAUAUUUUAUCAAUCUAUAAGCAAAAAAUAGGCCUUGUAAAUGGUAUAUACAUUCAAACAGUAAGGAUGAGGAGGCAGGAACGAUCAGUUUAUGAGAAGAGUAAGACUGUAGAGACCUAUAUCUUGGAGAAAUAACUGUGGGAUCUUUUUUUAUCUUUCAAUUCAGAACAUACAUGGAAAUUUUCUUACUACAUGGAGAUAAAGUCAUCCAGAGAACCAUGUAUGGCUGUUUUACUCUUGCCAAAUAACUACCCCAGAGCAAGCAUAUGUUGAAAGAAGAGAAUGUGCACAGGGAGGAAGAUGUGCCUCAUGUUCAGUUCAUUAAGGGCGGCAACCUAUCAAUCAGACACAGCCCUUGAGAAGACCUUCAGAGAAGAUAAAAACCAGUUCCUGAAAAAGUUCCAACACUGAUGGGUAGCACUUUCUGAACUGUAGCCCGAAGUCCACUGUUCUGUGGUCUGGAUCUCAUGAGCAGAAGAGUAUUUAAAGAUUUUGUUUGCUUUUUUGUUUGUUUGUUUAUUUCUUUGUUUUUGUUUGUUGUUGUUUGUUUGUUUGUUUUUAAUAAUACUUGCAGUUAAGAGGGCAGAUAAGAAAAUGAUGAUGCAUAGAAAUUGUUUUUACUUGACAACCCAUUCAUUUAAAAUUUGGAGAACUGCUAUUUUAAAACGUCCUGGUCUUUUUCCAAUCUAUUAAAUUAAAACAUUAUUAUUUUUAUUUUUAACCAUACAUAGGGACUCUAGUAAUACCACUGCUCUGGAGUUAGUCUUACAAAAAUAUCCAGUAAUAAGAACAGAAGCCUAUUAUGUUUAUUACAAUGAAUCAAUUUAAAUAGAGAGAACUCUUGCCC
Molecule: long non-coding RNA, 901 nt
Filed under: Anser cygnoides (Swan goose)
Lineage: Eukaryota; Metazoa; Chordata; Aves; Anseriformes; Anatidae
Description: lncRNA (ENSACDG00005019396.1)
Source: RNAcentral